This 405-nucleotide ribosomal RNA is filed under the name uncultured bacterium. Its description in RNAcentral is "partial 16S ribosomal RNA". It matches the Rfam family "Bacterial small subunit ribosomal RNA", at positions 28 to 526 of the family's 1533-position model. The record is from RNAcentral.
GAUGAACGCUGGCGGCGUGCCUAAUACAUGCAAGUCGAGCGCAGCGGGGACGGGUGAGUAACACGUGGAUAACCUCCGAUACGACUGGGACAGAUUGGGAAAACCGGAGCAAAACGGGUUACUCAUAGAUGGAUCCGCGCUGCAUUAGCUAGUUGGUAAGGUAAUGGCUUACCAAGGCAACGAUGCAUAGCCGACCUGAAAGGGUGAUCGGCCACACUGGAACUGAGACACGGUCCAGACUCCUACGGGAGGCAGCAGUAGGGAAUCUUCCGCAAUGGGCGAAAGCCUGACGGAGCAACGCCGCGUGAGUGAAGAAGGUCUUCGGAUCGUAAAACUCUGUUAUUAGGGAAGCGGUACCUAAUCAGAAAGCCACGGCUAACUACGUGCCAGCAGCCGCGGUAAUAC